Molecule: non-coding RNA, 204 nt
Filed under: Mesorhizobium sp. LSHC420B00
Lineage: Bacteria; Pseudomonadati; Pseudomonadota; Alphaproteobacteria; Hyphomicrobiales; Phyllobacteriaceae
Also listed under: 1 other name
Source: RNAcentral
CUAGGGUGGCUGACUGAUGGUCCCCGAGUCGAAAGGCAAGGGGUGAAAAGGGAACACGGUGAGAUCUUCGGAUCGAGGCCGUGGCUGCCCCCGCAACUGUAAGCGGUUAGCAAAAUCCGAAGUGCCACUGGCCGGCAAGGCUGGGAAGGCAGGAUGGCGCAAAGACCCGCGAGCCAGGAGACCUGCCAUCAGCAUGAGUUGACC